This 475-nucleotide ribosomal RNA is filed under the name uncultured bacterium. Its description in RNAcentral is "bacterial SSU rRNA". It matches the Rfam family "Bacterial small subunit ribosomal RNA", at positions 8 to 525 of the family's 1533-position model. The record is from RNAcentral.
AGAGUUUGAUCAUGGCUCAGAGCGAACGCUGGCGGCAGGCUUAACACAUGCAAGUCGAACGGGCAUAGCAAUAUGUCAGUGGCAGACGGGUGAGUAACGCGUGGGAACAUACCUCUUGGUUCGGAACAACACAGGGAAACUUGUGCUAAUACCGGAUAAGCCCUUACGGGGGAAAGAUUUAUCGCCGAGAGAUUGGCCCGCGUCUGAUUAGCUAGUUGGUGUGGUAAAGGCGCACCAAGGCGACGAUCAGUAGCUGGUCUGAGAGGAUGAUCAGCCACAUUGGGACUGAGACACGGCCCAAACUCCUACGGGAGGCAGCAGUGGGGAAUAUUGGACAAUGGGCGCAAGCCUGAUCCAGCCAUGCCGCGUGAGUGAUGAAGGCCUUAGGGUUGUAAAGCUCUUUUUGUACGGGAAGAUAAUGACGGUACCGUAAGAAUAAGCCCCGGCUAACUUCGUGCCAGCCGCCGCGGUAAUA